GAAAGUGAGAAUGGAAGGAAAGAGGUUGCACUCCCUUCUCCAAAUCCACCCAGUUACUUGAACAAUGAGAUGGAAUCAAUUAUGAGAAAUGAGCUUCCCACGCCAGUUGGAUAAAUCAUUGGUAAGUAUGUCUUCCUCUAUGUUAAACCUUGUAUCAUUUUAAGCAUCUCAAAUCAUCUGACUGGCCUUUGAUAAGGAGAUCCAUCAGAAACUUAAUUAGCCUGAACGGAUCAAUCGGAGACUGAAAAUAUUGGAUACUUGGACACUACCAAAGAAGGAUUAUCAUGCAGCACCUUGUUUGAACCAUUCUACCAGAUCCAAACCAAGAGAAUCAACGGGAAAUUCCUCUCAGUGUGAUUUCAAUGAGGCUGUAAUUGAAGUUCCUUUGGAUGAAGACAGCUCUACUAUUCAUCAAGAGCCUAUGACUAACUGGUUAGCUUUGAAGCAAACCUCUGUUGACAAAAAUGGGCUUCAUGGAAGUUCUUGGCCAAUAAUUCAGCUGGCAAGGGGCAUACGCUGCCAUUUGAGAAGAACGCAGCCAUGUGGAACCCAUUUGAAUCUCUGGAAAUCUUCCAUAUGAUGCCCCAAGAGCCACAUUUCCGGGCUUUAGAGCAGUACUGUGAGGAGUUCCGCGAAGGAAUGGCAAUUGGUUUUAUGGUGACUUUUGCCAACUUGAUCAAUGACCUUGGCUAUAAAAUGUCUGGAUGCCCGUCUUGAAACCAGACAGAAAUACUGUUACACUCACCUUAUCUCCACAGAAGCCAGGUUCUUAUGUAUUGGGAGUUCUUACAGGACAGAUUGGACACUUGACUUUCUGAUCUCAUGGAUUUUGAAAAGGUGACCCCCCCUGAUAGCGAUUUCACGAGUUUUGAAAAACCAAAAAAACCUGUUCUAAUUAAAGGUAAGUUUCUCCACUGCAUUACAUAGUAUUAGUUUUUUCAGUCUUCCAGGUUCUUAUGUAUUGGGAGUUCUUAUGUAUUCUCAAGCACUUGUAAGCCAGGUACUAAGCCAAUUGUCUCACCUUCUGUAAUGUUCUGUUUUUUAAACUUCACCAGCUAAUUUUCUCCA
Long non-coding RNA from Dioscorea cayenensis subsp. rotundata (Guinea yam), 1068 nucleotides. RefSeq lists it as uncharacterized. Lineage: Eukaryota; Viridiplantae; Streptophyta; Magnoliopsida; Dioscoreales; Dioscoreaceae. The transcript is spliced from 2 exons. The record is from RefSeq and is a predicted model, not a curated record.